GAUGAACGCUGGCGGCGUGCCUAAUACAUGCAAGUCGAGCGAACAGACGAGGAGCUUGCUCCUCUGACGUUAGCGGCGGACGGGUGAGUAACACGUGGAUAACCUACCUAUAAGACUGGGAUAACUUCGGGAAACCGGAGCUAAUACCGGAUAAUAUAUUGAACCGCAUGGUUCAAUAGUGAAAGACGGCUUUGCUGUCACUUAUAGAUGGAUCCGCGCCGCAUUAGCUAGUUGGUAAGGUAACGGCUCACCAAGGCAACGAUGCGUAGCCGACCUGAGAGGGUGAUCGGCCACACUGGAACUGAGACACGGUCCAGACUCCUACGGGAGGCAGCAGUAGGGAAUCUUCCGCAAUGGGCGAAAGCCUGACGGAGCGACGCCGCGUGAGUGAUGAAGGUCUUCGGAUCGUAAAACUCUGUUAUUAGGGAAGAACAAAUGUGUAAGUAACUAUGCACGUCUUGACGGUACCUAAUCAGAAAGCCCCGGCUAACUACGUG
This 497-nucleotide ribosomal RNA is filed under the name uncultured bacterium. RNAcentral describes it as "partial 16S ribosomal RNA". It matches the Rfam family "Bacterial small subunit ribosomal RNA", at positions 28 to 507 of the family's 1533-position model. The record is from RNAcentral.